AAAGGGAGACCUAAUUCAGGUAUGGGACGAAAAAAAAGUAGUCGCUACCAAGAAUCAAUCCCAAAAGGUCGGAGCGAGGCAUAAGGCUUUCAAACUAGGUUCUGGGUUCACACAAGACCUGAAUCAGGAACAAGGGCUAUUAGCUCAGGUGGUUAGAGCGCACCCCUGAUAAGGGUGAGGUCCCUGGUUCGAGUCCAGGAUGGCCCACCUGCACAGGUGGCAAAAACAAGAGAAGCGAGGAAUCAGCACCUUAUCUUACUGACAUAGUAAGAGAGAAUGCUGGCUCUGAGUAAAGAGUCCAGAGGAACCUUGAAAACUGCAUAGAGCUAGGUGAAAAAGCCAAAAAAGAAGACCGCAAG
This 359-nucleotide transfer RNA is filed under the name uncultured Microcystis sp. Its description in RNAcentral is "partial 16S-23S ribosomal RNA intergenic spacer". The stretch from base 134 to 207 matches the Rfam family "tRNA". Lineage: Bacteria; Bacillati; Cyanobacteriota; Cyanophyceae; Chroococcales; Microcystaceae. The record is from RNAcentral.